AUGACUUUCUUCCUAAAAGAAAUUAAAACGGCCCAAUUAAUAUUGUCGAGCCACAUCAGCUUAACAGGCCAAUUUUUCGGACGGCCAAACGGCCCAGCUAGAAUCACCAAGGGGAACUUCAGAAUCCAUAGUUACAGACGUGUGUUGACAAUAAGCGUCUGUACUGAACUACAGACGCUUGUACAUGGCGCGCGUCUGUAACAAGGAAAAUCACAGACACGUUUUAAAACAGUAACAGUAGCAGGCGUCUGUAACAAGCUAUUACAGACGCGUGUUAACCUCCAGUUAUGCAAUCGCGCGUCUGUGAUUUCCUUUUUUUACAUAGUGGUAAUUUAA
This 336-nucleotide long non-coding RNA is filed under the name Sorghum bicolor (sorghum). Its description in RNAcentral is "long non-coding RNA (SBIC_LNC014459)". The record is from RNAcentral. Lineage: Eukaryota; Viridiplantae; Streptophyta; Magnoliopsida; Poales; Poaceae.